This 94-nucleotide ribosomal RNA is filed under the name Ancylomarina sp. 16SWW S1-10-2. The record is from RNAcentral. Lineage: Bacteria; Pseudomonadati; Bacteroidota; Bacteroidia; Marinilabiliales; Marinifilaceae.
UGGGGUUCCACCUCUUCCCAUCCCGAACAGAGAAGUUAAGCCCAUUAGCGCCGAUGGUACUGCCGAAAGGUGGGAGAGUAGGUCGAUGCCAACU